AUCGCGGUGGCGCGGCGGGCGCGGGUGCGCUUGUAGCGCUCGCGUUCGAUGCGCCGUGGCGAGGGGACGUACGCGUCGCCCCCGCCGGAC
Molecule: transfer RNA, 90 nt
Filed under: Streptomyces avermitilis
Lineage: Bacteria; Bacillati; Actinomycetota; Actinomycetes; Kitasatosporales; Streptomycetaceae
Description: tRNA-Tyr
Source: RNAcentral